CGAACGGGUGCGUAACACGUGAGUCAUCUGCCUGAAAGUGGGGGAUAGCUCGCCGAAAGGCGAAUUAAUACCGCAUAUGCCCCGAAGCAAUUCGGGGUAAAGCCGGGGCAACCUGGCGCUUUUAGAGGAACUCGCGGCUAUCAGCUUGUUGGCGAGGUAAUGGCUCACCAAGGCAUUGAUCGGUAGCCGGACUGAGAGGUUGGCCGGCCACACUGGAACUGAGACACGGUCCAGACUCCUACGGGAGGCAGCAGUGGGGAAUCUUGCACAAUGGACGAAAGUCUGAUGCAGCAACGCCGCGUGGGGGAUGAAGCUUUUCGGAGUGUAAACCCCUUUCGACCCGGAAGAAUGCCCGCAAGGGUUUGACGGUACGGGUAUAAGAAGCCCCGGCUAACUACGUGCCAGCAGCCGCGGUAAUACGUAGGGGGCCAGCGUUGCUCGGAAUUACUGGGCGUAAAGGGUCUGUAGGCGGUGCGGCAAGUCGAUAGUGAAAUCCCUAGGCUUAACCUGGGGGCUGCUAGCGAAACUGCCGUGCUAGAGUGUGAGAGAGGCGAGUGGAAUUACGGGUGUAGCGGUGAAAUGCGUAGAUUCCCGUAGGAACAUCCGAGG
RNAcentral lists this ribosomal RNA (609 nucleotides) under uncultured bacterium. Its description in RNAcentral is "bacterial SSU rRNA". It matches the Rfam family "Bacterial small subunit ribosomal RNA", at positions 99 to 715 of the family's 1533-position model. The record is from RNAcentral.